UCUGUUGGUGGCCAUGGUAACCAGCCGGCCUGCUGGACUGUCUCUUGAGGGCAGUACCACAUCUACGUCCAUAGCACAUAGAGCAAUGUCUGGCACGUACAUUGAAUAAAAGAGUCAAUCAACGGAGAAACCAUGCAUCAUUUGAAUGACUUCACAGUCCAGAGAGUUCUGGCUUACUCAUCAUGCUAUUACUCCCUGCCAAGGUAGCUUCACCUACAUUAUGAAAAUAAUGUGUGCAUCUGGCUAAAGAAUCCAAACAGCUCAGAAAAGUGCAAAACACAAAGCAGAAAUCUCCUUUCCCUGCUCUGUCCUUGUCUCCCAUCCCGCGAGAAAAAGUUCACUGACUCCUGCUUUGCAGCAUUGAUCGCCAUCUAACUCACUAGAUAAGGCCUGUUACACGCAAGGGAGAUUUGGUGCCACCUCGCGGGAUUCAGGAGAGUAGUGGGGCGGAAUGUCACCGACUGCUGAGACCGUUGGGAGAGACAACCUGAGGAGCAUCUGGAGGCAGGAGUCAUGGAAAUGGUUGGUAGUAAAGGUCAAGAUCACAUUGGGGGAGAGCUGAAAUCGAAUAACAUUAUCUGAUACUGUGGUGCGAGAACAUGGACAUCCGAGGGAGAGAAUGUUUGGGUUUGGGUUGGAGUCCUUUCCCUGUCAUGUAUCCACUCACAACCUUAGCGAGUAAAUGACUUUUCUGAGUUUC
Molecule: long non-coding RNA, 700 nt
Organism: Panthera uncia (snow leopard)
Lineage: Eukaryota; Metazoa; Chordata; Mammalia; Carnivora; Felidae
Exons: 5
Source: RefSeq, a predicted model, not a curated record